AUGGUCAGCUGGUCCUUUAAUUAGUUAAAUACAGGUGAACACACUGAUUUUUAUUGCUGUCCUUCAUAUGAUAAGAUGCUGCCUUUAAUGGUGAUAACUGUGGGCUAAACAUGACUAGAGAGAUUUGUGUCUGGGCUUCUAUCCCCUGUGCACACGGGGAGAUUGGUGUUUGAUUUGCAGCCACAUCUGAGAUUUGUGGAGCUUGUCACUGCUAGUGACUACAGCAGACUUGAGAACCAAUGUAAAUGGACAAUGACUUAUUCGACAUAAUGGCAACGAUGCCAGUUACAAGGGAUCAGCACACUACAAUCUAUUAGCCAAAUCUAGCUCACCACCCAUUUUUAGCUGUGUUCUCAGUCGCUUCAGUCAUGUCCAACUCUUUGCAAACUUAGCCUGCCAGGCUCCUCUGUACACCGGAUUCUCCAGCAAGAAUACAGGAGUGGGUUGCUGUGCCCUCCUCCAGGGGAUCUUCCCACCCCAGGAAUUGAACCCAUAUAUCUGGCAUCUCCGGCAUUGCCAGCAGGUUCUUUACCCGCUGAACUGCCUGGGAAGCCCUUCUUCCCUUUCCACUUCCCUCCAGUCAUACUGUCAUCAGAUCGUUCUCACAUUCUUCAAAGUUACAGAUUCUUUGCGUACUGUUAGGUAUAGGUUUUACUUCACUUGUAGGUGGUCUUGGGGAUGUCUUUCCACAUGUGAAAAUCUUCAAAGGCAUUUAACUUUGCCUAUUUUAAAUGUAUUAUACAUACUUAACAACAAACAUGUUAAGUCAUUGCUCUUUGCACAUUUGUCUCCAAGGAGUAUGGCUUUGCUCUUUGCAUUGAUGUAUAAUAACUUAAUAACUUUCUACUUACUGAGAAUUCUCAGAUGAAAUAGAUAAGCAAAGAGGGUAAAAAUGUGCUUUAUUUUGAGAUCCCACAUAUUCUCCUUUGAGAGUGUGAUAAAUCAGGUAGGUAUUUUUCAUUUAAUAUAAUAGAUAUAUUUCCUAUUAUAUUAAUAAAUGAAAAUAUGUAUCUUAUUUGCUCAAUUAGAUGUUAAGUUCACUAACAUGUUUUCAGGUCAACUUGCAUAAUACAUGGUUUGAUUCCAUUAAAUGCCCUUUAUGUCUCUGACAUGUAGAGAGGUGAUAGGUGUGAGGCAUGUACCAAAUUGUAUAAGACAUGAAUCUGACCCUCAAGGUGCUUCUAGUCUAUCAAAAUGAACGCUGCAGAUAACCACAAAUAGCAGAUGGUCUGGGAUGAUUGCUCAGGAACUCAUAUCAAGAAAGGAACAACUUAAUCAAAAGAGCUUAGGAAGAGCCUAAGAGUGAGGAUUUCAGUGCACUGAAAAUAUUUUAGACAAGAUUGGAAAAUUGGCAAAAAUCACUGGAAAGCACAUUCAUAAAAAAUUGAGUUAACCCAAGUGGCCAGAUCAGAGGGGACAGAGGAGACCAAAAAGUGAUAGAUGAGAUAGAUAAGGGACAUGGAACCAGCUCACAGUGUGAAGACCAGGCUUGGGAACUUGAACCAAAGCCUGGAACAAGUGUAAAAUCACCAAAGGGCUGGAGUUAGUGACAUAACCAGAUUUGUGCCUGAGGGAAAUAUAAAUACUUCUUGACAAUUUUAUGAGGGUUUUUUCAUCUUUGUUCCUUCAUGGAAUGAUUUAGUUCUAAGAUGAUUUUUAUUCUCAUGUUAUAAUUGAUAAGGGAGGCUUCUGACUAACUGCAGUGCUCUCGCCAUUAAACCUGCUCAGAUUCCAAGAGUAUACUAUGGACAUUAUGCAAGAAAUGUGAUAGAGAUGGCUUAUUUAAGUGUGUACACAUCCUGUAUUCUGGAAUACCUGUUCAAUUAUAAC
This is a long non-coding RNA of Bos taurus (domestic cattle), 1830 nucleotides long. NCBI's taxonomy places the organism in Eukaryota, Metazoa, Chordata, Mammalia, Artiodactyla, Bovidae. The record is from Ensembl.